Molecule: long non-coding RNA, 1719 nt
Filed under: Pelobates cultripes (western spadefoot toad)
Lineage: Eukaryota; Metazoa; Chordata; Amphibia; Anura; Pelobatidae
Source: RNAcentral
CUCUUGCCACAGGUUUAUUUGUAUUAAAUGUGGUUUAAUCUAUUAAGUAACAAGACAAUGGAAGAAAGAAUACAAUGCAACACUAAAAAUUGUCAUAGAAAUAUGUAAAAUAGGGGGGCGGGGCCUGACCAGCAUGGCUGACAGACGUGUGUGUGGUGAGCUCCUCACACAAUCCUAGCUAAACCGAGUACAAACAGAGAUGCUACCCCUAAAACAGCACCAAAUGAGAUUGCACACUGAAAAUAACUGCUGGGGAGCACAAGCAGACGACUCCGGAGAUUCGUCCGCCGUCCUGAAGCCAAACACCACAUGUGAGGCCUACUCAGGCGGAGGGACCCAUGGGGGAGGAAACGGCCGAUCCUCCAACCUGGGACCACCAAGCAAAUGCAAGCAACCCCCCCUGUGCACCGGUGGGGGUAAUCCCGGUCCCUGCUGGGGAAAAGAAAACAGAGAGCAUCUCACCAACACAUGCCGCCGCUACCUGCUCCUGGGCCACAACCAACAUGGCCGACUGAGCAAGGGAACACCCUGAACCGACAUGGGAAACUCGGUUUAAUGCUGCCUUCGACAAGAUAUGUGCAACGUUCUGGAGCCAGAUUGCAGCCCGGGCAGAGCAAACGCAGCAGCCUAUCACUUACACCAUACAGCCCCAGGCGGAAUUCCUAUCAGCGAACAGCCCAACCGAACUAACACACCCAGCCAUGCACAUGGAGAAUGCUGCAGUGUCUGCCGCAUGCCCUUCUUCUGGGCCGGGUACUCACACUAAGGUACCUCUCAAACUUCAGCCAUACACCCGGGGAUUUAUCCGAGAACCGGAAGCACCCCGGGCACAUGACCCUCAAAAUAGGAUCCAUGGCACGAGUCCCCUUUACGGCCGAAGGCCGGUGGCACGCAGACUCUGCAAGCCCAUGAGCAGCCGGAAACGGCCCAGGCCAGUCAAAAGACCACCUGCCGCGGAAGAAUGUGAGUGGAACGGACAGGGCCCCCCCAUCGUGGCAUGAGGACCUGGCCUCCCAAGACGGCCAGGCGGAGUGGACUGAAGACACUCUCCAACGCCCUCACCUAGACCUGCACAGAAACACUCACUGUACCUAAUAGCCUGAUCGGAACUAGUGAUGUAACUUGCAGCAUGUAAAUUAACAUAGCACUGUACAGCCUCUGAUUUAUAUCGUGCAAGUACCUUCAUUACUACCCAGGCACUAUAGUCAUAGGGGAACUAGAUAUGUUUUACAAGCAUGAGAUUCCUCCCCAGCAAGCUACUUAAACCACUGUUUCCCCUACUUAUUUAUCUACUCGGUGGCUCUUAAAUGUAAAAACGAUGCAAUAUCCACCAGAACCUAAUCUCUAAACCCAGCAGAUAUCACACAUUGCAUAUAUAAGUUUCACACCUAAGACAUGUUUAAGCCUGACAGCCACUAUAUAUAUGUGUACUAGCCAGGGUAGAAUAAAAUGUUCUGUUAAACCUGUUUCUAUCUUGCUAACUAACUUAAAAUAGUUGCCUACCUAACCUGUUCUCCACUACUCUAGCCUGUAACAUUUCAAGAUUUAUAUUACAGCAUAUAAUGAAGCAUGUCUCUUUAACACAUAAAAAGUGCAAUUGUUUCUCAUGUCAUGGCACUGAAUGCAAAUGUUUGUCUACAUUAUCUACAUUAAGCUUGCUGAUGUUGUCGUGGCAAUGCAAGCCUGUAUGUUCAUCUUUUGUUGCACACCAAAAUAAAG